GGCGUGGUACUUUAAAAAAAAGGUUUGAUUUGCAUUCAAAGAUUGGGUUUUUACCUCUACGCUG
RNAcentral lists this transfer RNA (64 nucleotides) under Teredo bartschi. RNAcentral's name for it is "tRNA-Ala". Lineage: Eukaryota; Metazoa; Mollusca; Bivalvia; Myida; Teredinidae. The record is from RNAcentral.